Chinchilla lanigera (long-tailed chinchilla) is the source of this 710-nucleotide long non-coding RNA. RefSeq lists it as uncharacterized. The record is from RefSeq and is a predicted model, not a curated record. NCBI's taxonomy places the organism in Eukaryota, Metazoa, Chordata, Mammalia, Rodentia, Chinchillidae. The transcript has 2 exons.
ACUCCUCGACCUCCUUUCGCUUAGUGACUGUUUCUCUUCAGCGUGGGGCUCAUCGGCUGUUACUUGUCCACGCCUCCCUCUUCUCGUCCCUCUGGUUUUUAUGGGUUUAUGAGGUCUCCGCCAUUAGAUUGGAGGGGAAGAAUUUCGUGUUAAGCACUUAAGAGUGUUAGACAGUUAAGAUUUAGGGCAAGCCUGGAGACCUGGACUUUAUUCUGUAGGUGACAAAGCAGGCUGGAGAGGUUAGGGGAUGUACUCAAAGCUGUACUGCUGAGGAAUUUACCCAACCCCACAAGCCCUUAUCUCUACUUCAAAGCGGUAGAUCAUGACCCCUAAGUAGCCUCUUAAUCUGCCAUCACCACGUAGAACAGUAUAUUGUUUAUUAAAUAAUUGUAGCAGCAGUUAUUGAGUGCCUAUUUGUGAGGUACUGUUACAUAAAAGCUUUAAGGUCUCCAUUUAAUACAGCUACAGUGCAGAUUACAGAUGAGGAAACUGAGGCGCACUGAACGGGCUCAACAUCAUACAACUAAAAGUAAUGGAGACGAGCUUCAAACCCAGGUUAUACUUUACAUUCUUGAAAAUACAAGGAUGUGCAUAUUGACCCAAAUCAAGAUUACUCAUUGCUGCAUUGUUUUUUAAUAAUAAAAGAAUGAAAACAACCUACGUGUUAGCAAGACCCAACUGAUUAAAUAAAUUGUAAACGGACUACAGAA